Long non-coding RNA from Bubalus bubalis (water buffalo), 1733 nucleotides. RefSeq lists it as uncharacterized. The transcript has 2 exons. The record is from RefSeq and is a predicted model, not a curated record. NCBI's taxonomy places the organism in Eukaryota, Metazoa, Chordata, Mammalia, Artiodactyla, Bovidae.
GUAGGAGCUGGAGGGGAAGGGGAAGUGGGGAGGGAGAGAGAAGCCUGGGGAGAUGAGUGGAGAGGAGCAAGACACAGGUGGAAAAAUAUGUUUCCAGUGUUUGUGAAAAACAGACGUGCAAUAUUCUUAUGUUUGUAGAAACACUGAGUUUCUCUUAAUGAGGGAAAAUACAAAAUAGCUCUGCUAAAUCUCAAAAUAAAACCAGAGACAAGACUAAAGUGCUAAUACCAAUGAGGGGUUCUUCAGGGAAAGGAGUUAUGUGAAUAAGAAAGCUGAGCUCCACUUUUUCCUUCAAGAUACCUGGAAAAACCCUGGAGAAUUCAAUUCCCUUCCUUUCCUUGCCUUUCUUGGGUUAUUACUAAGGUGCAGGCAGCCAGAUACCGUCACAACGCCCAGGCAAUAAAGGCUUGGUUGGAAAGACAGACCUGCUACUCUCUCUUCUACAGCUGGGACUACACGGUGCUGGUUAGGAUUUACACCAGGUCUGAAAAUGCCCCCAAGGUGGCUUCUGUCCACAGGCUAACUAAUGGAGACGGUCCGGUCUCAGCUAUAGAUCCCUCCGGUUCCCUAUUCCAUGUAGCUAUCUUUCUCGACUAUAGGAGAGUAACUGAGGUCAAUUGCCACUGAAUGAUGCACACCAUACCAUCUUUUUACGUCCGCCUAGUGAGACAGUUCCAACAGAGAGAGAUUUUCCCCGGAGCCCCCCAGUGAGUUGCUCUCUGGGCUUCUCUGCUCCUUACAGCUACAGGUUAUGCACAAGCUAAUGGGGCUAAUUGCUCCAGCUGAAGCCCCUGUACCAUUUCCCUGCCUCUUGCCCGAAUGUCAUUGUCUUCUUGGGCUUCUGGGUUUCCACAUUUUGUAGUCUUCAUCAUUUAACUGCUGCUGGAAAGAGGGGAAGUUACCACAACUGGAGGUUGGUGGCCUUGACUGUUAUUCUCUGCUCCAGAGAGAUUUUGUUUUUCGAAUCAUAGAAUCAAGUGAUUUAAGAAAAAGAAUCCUCAGUGCUCAGGCUCUGCCUUUCAGCUUCAAAGCCUUUUACAAGCUGCAAUUCAUUAAACACAAUAAUCGUUUGAGGUCAGUGGUCCGACCUCUGCAGAGAGAGGGGCCAAGGCCUCCCACCCCACCCUCUUUCUCUUUGUGUUCCCGACCACAGCAGGCAGGACGGGGCGGGAUGAGGGUGCUCCCAGUGGGCGGCUGCCCAUGGCCCUCUGCCCAGGCCUGCCUUUCCCUUCCUCCCUGCCAGGGCUCCACGCUCCACUUACCCAUCGGGAACAUGAUCUUGCCUCCUCCAGGCUGCAUUUGUCUGCCUUUCACAAAACAGUCAACCCACAUUUUUUUGUUUCCUUAAUGUAAGUGAGGAAUCUCCUAGCCAGAGAGCCCAACCAAGCAUGACAUUUCCCCCCUGGAAUGGAUUUCUACCUGCUUGACCACUUGAGGACCAACAGCCAAGAAGGAUCACACCCUCUGUCAACAUGAGACCAAGCCAGCGUGUCGCCCACAGCAGGCAGGCCCAUUACCCCAACAUGUGCCCUGGGCAUCCCAGCCAGACCCAGGUCUGCAUAUGUUUUCUCCACUGCUCUCUCCUCCUGUCUGAAGGUCCAUAUCCUGCCCUCCCACUGAAGGCUCAGCAUCUCUCCUAGCAACUUCACCAAGGCUUUUCUAUCUGCUCCAGCCCAAAUGGAUCCCUUUCUUCUCUGAAUUCUUUACAUGUUUGUGCUCAUCAAUACUCAAAA